Molecule: ribosomal RNA, 194 nt
Filed under: uncultured bacterium
Lineage: Bacteria
Description: partial 16S ribosomal RNA
Rfam family: Bacterial small subunit ribosomal RNA
Source: RNAcentral
CCUACGGGAGGCAGCAGUGGGGAAUAUUGGACAAUGGGCGAAAGCCUGAUCCAGCCAUGCCGCGUGUGUGAAGGAGGUCUUCGGACUGUAAAGCACUUUAAGUUGGGAGGAAGGGCACUUACCUAAUACGUGAGUAUUUUGACGGUACCGACAGAAUAAGCACCGGCCAACUCUGUGCCAGCAGCCGCGGUAAU